CUCACACCCACGAUCAUAGAAGUAGGUCUCGGCACUUGCUAAGGAAGACCGCAUGAAAAUUUAGUCGUGUAAUAGUCGUGAAAAAUCAUCGUGGAAGGUUAAUAAAGUAUACGAUCUUACGAAGGUGAAAGAAAUGAAGAGUGUCCCUAUCUCUGUUUGAGAUAUUCAUAGCGUGUCAAGCGUGCGCAGAACGAGAACCUUCUUGUUUUUCAUGUUGGUUUUUCACAAGUUAGUUACGACUCAAUUUUCGAAUGAUUUUUCCUAUGCUUCGGCAAAGAGGAAAUCUCCUCUUUGGCUUUGGUGGUACACCGAGCGGUCAAAUGCUGGAAGAUGUUCCACGCUAGCAUAUACAAGAACCUAUUUACAUAGUUCCACCACAAACGAGGUAUAAUCGACUGUGUGUCCACUCUACAGAACCUAUUUCAUUGUACGGUUCUACGGAAAAGUUCAUACUUUCCUAUCCGAUAAAAACGCUUAUUAGAAUAACAAAAUCGCACAAUAAUUACACUAAGUUACCUCAGAAUGAGAAGUUAAUUGUUUAUUAAAUUUAUUUUAGAAAAAUUAAUAAAUAUAUUUUUAUAUCUUUAUACAUUCUUUUAAUAUUAAUAUUAUAUUUUCUUAAAUAUUAAAUUUUUACAACUUAUAUUGAUAAGUUUUUGAUUAUUUUUAUUUAUUAUAAUUCGCCUACAUAUUCUUACAAUUUUGUAGAUGAAAAUUUUAAUUAAAAUAUUUAAAACAUAAGAAACUGCUAUACCAUGAACAUAAUUUCUUGAUUAAUUUUUUUAAAAUAAAAAACCAUGCGUUUGAAUUCUUUUGGGACUGUUUACUAUGAACCUAAAAUAUUGAAUGAACAUACAACUAACU
Molecule: unclassified non-coding RNA, 864 nt
Filed under: Bombus terrestris (buff-tailed bumblebee)
Lineage: Eukaryota; Metazoa; Arthropoda; Insecta; Hymenoptera; Apidae
Description: misc RNA ENSBTSG00005025220.1
Source: RNAcentral